CACAACGACUCUUGGCAACGGAGUGUCGGCUCUCGCAUCGAUGAAGAACGUAGCGAAAUGCGAUACUUGGUGUGAAUUGCAGAAUCCCGUGAACCAUCGAGUCUUUGAACGCAAGUUGCGCCCGAAGCCGUCAGGCCGAGGGCACGCCUGCCUGGGCGUCACGC
RNAcentral lists this ribosomal RNA (164 nucleotides) under Sesuvium portulacastrum. Its description in RNAcentral is "5.8S ribosomal RNA". It matches the Rfam family "5.8S ribosomal RNA". From Rfam's summary of the family: 5.8S ribosomal RNA (5.8S rRNA) is a component of the large subunit of the eukaryotic ribosome. Lineage: Eukaryota; Viridiplantae; Streptophyta; Magnoliopsida; Caryophyllales; Aizoaceae. The record is from RNAcentral.